This 492-nucleotide ribosomal RNA is filed under the name uncultured bacterium. RNAcentral's name for it is "partial 16S ribosomal RNA". It matches the Rfam family "Bacterial small subunit ribosomal RNA", at positions 29 to 507 of the family's 1533-position model. The record is from RNAcentral.
AGUGAACGCUGGCGGUAGGCCUAACACAUGCAAGUCGAACGGCAGCACAGUAAGAGCUUGCUCUUACGGGUGGCGAGUGGCGGACGGGUGAGGAAUACAUCGGAAUCUACUUUUUCGUGGGGGAUAACGUAGGGAAACUUACGCUAAUACCGCAUAUGACCUACGGGUGAAAGCUGGGGAUCUUCGGACCUUGCGCGAUUGAAUGAGCCGAUGUCGGAUUAGCUAGUUGGCGGGGUAAAGGCCCACCAAGGCGACGAUCCGUAGCUGGUCUGAGAGGAUGAUCAGCCACACUGGAACUGAGACACGGUCCAGACUCCUACGGGAGGCAGCAGUGGGGAAUAUUGGACAAUGGGCGCAAGCCUGAUCCAGCCAUACCGCGUGGGUGAAGAAGGCCUUCGGGUUGUAAAGCCCUUUUGUUGGGAAAGAAAAGCAGCAGGUUAAUACCACGCUGUUCUGACGGUACCCAAAGAAUAAGCACCGGCUAACUUCGUG